Non-coding RNA from Picea glauca (white spruce), 121 nucleotides. The record is from Rfam. Lineage: Eukaryota; Viridiplantae; Streptophyta; Pinopsida; Pinales; Pinaceae.
ACAUGCCUACAACACAGCGUUAAUGCAUCUGAUCCCAUUAGAACUUCGCAGUUAAGCAUGCUCAGGCUAGAGUAGUACUGAGAUUGGUGACCGCUCGAGAAGUCAUAGUAUGUGGCAUUUU